RNAcentral lists this ribosomal RNA (943 nucleotides) under Fomitopsis juniperina. RNAcentral's name for it is "LSU rRNA". It matches the Rfam family "Eukaryotic large subunit ribosomal RNA", at positions 38 to 964 of the family's 3401-position model. The record is from RNAcentral. Lineage: Eukaryota; Fungi; Basidiomycota; Agaricomycetes; Polyporales; Fomitopsidaceae.
GCAUAUCAAUAAGCGGAAGGAAAAGAAACUAACAAGGGAUUCCCUAGUAACUGCGAGUGAAGCGGGAAAAGCUCAAAUUUAAAAUCUGGCGGUCUUUGGCCGUCCGAGUUGUAGUCUGGAGAAGUGCUUUCCGCGCUGGACCGUGUACAAGUCUCUUGGAACAGAGCGUCAUAGAGGGUGAGAAUCCCGUCUUUGACACGGACUUACCAGUGCUUUGUGAUGCGCUCUCAAAGAGUCGAGUUGUUUGGGAAUGCAGCUCAAAAUGGGUGGUAAAUUCCAUCUAAAGCUAAAUAUUGGCGAGAGACCGAUAGCGAACAAGUACCGUGAGGGAAAGAUGAAAAGCACUUUGGAAAGAGAGUUAAACAGUACGUGAAAUUGCUGAAAGGGAAACGCUUGAAGUCAGUCGCGUUGGCCAGGACUCAGCCUUGCUUUUUUUGCUUGGUGCACUUUCUGGUUGACGGGCCAGCAUCGAUUUUGACCGCUGGAAAAAGGUUGGGGGAAUGUGGCACCUUCGGGUGUGUUAUAGCCCUCAGUCACAUACGGUGGUUGGGAUCGAGGACCGCAGCACGCCUUUAUGGCCGGGGUUCGCCCACGUUCGUGCUUAGGAUGCUGGCGUAAUGGCUUUAAACGACCCGUCUUGAAACACGGACCAAGGAGUCUAACAUGCCUGCGAGUGUUUGGGUGGAAAACCCGAGCGCGUAAUGAAAGUGAAAGUUGAGAUCCCUGUCGUGGGGAGCAUCGACGCCCGGACCUGAACUUCGGUGAUGGCUCUGCGGUAGAGCAUGUAUGUUGGGACCCGAAAGAUGGUGAACUAUGCCUGAAAUAGGGUGAAGCCAGAGGAAACUCUGGUGGAGGCUCGUAGCGAUUCUGACGUGCAAAUCGAUCGUCAAAUUUGGGUAUAGGGGCGAAAGACUAAUCGAAUAUCUAGUAGCUGGGUCUGCGA